CCUACGGGAGGCUGCAGUGAGGAAUAUUGGUCAAUGGCCGGAAGGCUGAACCAGCCAAGCCGCGUGAAGGACGAAGGUGCCAAGCAUUGUAAACUUCUUUUGUCAAGGGACAAAGUCAUGCUCGAGAGCCUUACCGAGUGUACUUGAAGAAAAAGCAUCGGCUAACUCCGUGCCAGCAGCCGCGGUAAUACGGAGGAUGCGAGCGUUAUCCGGAUUUAUUGGGUUUAAAGGGUGCGUAGGCGGGCUGUUAAGUCAGCGGUAAAAGCUUGGGGCUCAACCCCGGCGAGCCGUUGAAACUGGCUGUCGUGAGAAGUGGAGAGGUAGGCGGAAGGCGCAGUGUAGCGGUGAAAUGCUUAGAUAUUGCGCAGAACUCCGAUUGCGAAGGCAGCAUACCGGAGGCGAUCUGACGCUGAGGCACGAAAGCGUGGGUAUCGAACAGGAUUAGAUACCCUUGUAGUC
RNAcentral lists this ribosomal RNA (459 nucleotides) under uncultured bacterium. RNAcentral describes it as "partial 16S ribosomal RNA". It matches the Rfam family "Bacterial small subunit ribosomal RNA", at positions 338 to 795 of the family's 1533-position model. The record is from RNAcentral.